This 4920-nucleotide long non-coding RNA is filed under the name Homo sapiens (human). Its description in RNAcentral is "HSALNT0014137". Lineage: Eukaryota; Metazoa; Chordata; Mammalia; Primates; Hominidae. The record is from RNAcentral.
UUUAGCACUUGGUUCUGUUGGCUGGGAAAUUCAGGAUCAGGCAGCUGUAUCUGGUGGGUUCUCAUGACUGCCUCAUGCUGCAUCAAAACAUCGUAGAGAAACAGAAGGGGACCGAGUUUGUGCAAACAAAAAGCGCAAAAUAGAAGAGGCAGCACUGUUUUAUAACAACUCACUCUCUUGGGAACUAACCAUUCCCAGGAGAACCCAGUCUCAGUGUCAAGAGAAAGAUGUUAAUCCAUCUUAGCAACCUAAUUACCUCUUAAAAGCAGCAUCUCCCAACACUAUUACAUUGGCAAUUGAACUACAACGUGAGUUUUGGAGGGGCCAAACAACAUCCAAACCAUAGCAGCAGGUUUAAAGGUAAAAGGAUGGGAGAAAAGUACACAGAAAGAUAUUCUGGAGAAAAGGCACAGAGUGAGCCAAGGCACAAGGUAAAAUGUUUGACUGGUUAGAGACGCUAGAUUAUUUUGUGUGGCUAAGACAAAACAAAGCUGGUGGGGAGUGGCAGGAGGUAAGUCUAGAAUGGCACAAUGGGGCCAGACUGCGAAUGGCAAACUGAAGUAUGUGAUCUUUUAUUCUAAAGAAAAUGUAGUAUGAUUAGCACAAAAAAAAGAAAAAUUAUUGGCCGGGCGCAGUGGCCCAUGCCUGUAAUCCCAGCACUUUGGGAGGCCGAGGAGGGUGGAUCAUGAGGUCAGGAGUUCAAGACGGUGAAACUCCAUCUCUACUAAAAACACAAAAAUUAGCCAGGAGCUGUGGCAGGUGCCUGUAAUCCCAGCUACUCAGUAGGCUGAGGCAGGAGAAUCACUUGAACCCGGGAGGUGGAGGUUGCAGUGAGCUGAGAUCGCGCCACUGCACUCUAGCCUGGGCGACAGAGCAAGACUAAAAAUAAAAAUGAAAAAAUUAUUAUCCAUGGUAUUAUCAUGGUAGUACUGACUAAAAGAGGGACACGUGUAACAAAAUCAGUAAGGAGGGUACUCCAAGAAUCCAUGUUAAAGUUAAUGAGGGCUCGAACCCAAACAUAAAGGAUGGAAAUGAUGUAAUAAAAUACCUUUUGAAAGUUAUAUUUAAAAAUUUUUGGUGAAUAGUCUAGUUAGAGGUGAAAGAAGAAAGCAGAGGAGUCUAAUGCAAUGCGUGACUUGUAGCUCAGGUAAAGGGGUGGCAGGUGACGCUUAAAUACUAGAAAUAUAAGAAGCAGCACAGGUUUGGUUUUAUCUGUGAGAACAAUGGAGUGGAGGUAUGCUUUAGAUGCAAUUAUUUAUGGGAUAUUCAAAACAGAUAUCUAUGAAGCAAAAAACUUGGGCCCAAAAAACAAGUUUGAAGGUAUAUUUGGGAGUUACCAGUAAUAUAGGUAACUGUUGAAGCUCUAAAUAUAGAAGACAAACUAGAGGAGCUUGUUUCUUGAAGAAUUCUUGUCACACUUGACAUUUUUUACAGAGAUUUCUUAAAACAGGGGCAUAUCUUCUUUGGCUAACAUAUGCAGACUAAAAUGAAAGAGUAUAGUAUAUUAUAAAAUCAAUAAAAGGUAAGAUAAAUUGAGGCCUAAAAAUAAAGAAUAAAUACACUCAGUUGAUUCUGAAGCUCUAAUUUACAGAUGCAAAAUUGUACCAGUACAUUAACUCAUAUGUCAAAACAACAUCUAGAGAAACAAAAAAUGAAAGUAAAAUGGAAAAAGAUAAAAGAAGAGAGGCAAGGAGAAGAGAAUGGGCAAAAGGAGAUAGGAAAAACAGGAAUUUUUUUUUAAAGGGCUAAAAUUUUAGUGAAUCAGAUGUGGAAAACAGUUGGAUUAACAUUGAGAUCAAAUGAGAAAGGAGCAAAUAAGGAAAGAUGUAUUACAAACCAAGAGUAAAAAAGGGAAAACAAAAUAACAAAAGCAAAAACUAUUUAAAAAGAAUAAAGGAAGACGUGAUAAUGAAGUAAAUUUAAAAAGUACGGAAUAAUAAAAAGAAAUUGCAAAAAAUACCUUUUGAAAAUAAACAUACUAAUAACUUGACAAUAAAGUGAAAUGUGUAAGACAAACAUAUCUGUGUCAUUAUUUAGGAGUAGUGAAAAGUACUCUUAAAUAAUAAUUUGGUAUCUAGCAGGCCUGGAUUUGAAUCUACUUUAACUUGCUAGCUAUGUGACCUUGGGCAAGCAAAGAAACUCCUCAUAACCAUUGUAAUAAUACCACCAAAAUGCCUUACACUUACGGCUCAAAAAAUGAAGGAAAUGAGAGAAAAAAGUAUAGAUUACUAUAUGGAAGUCAAAUUUCUAGUGACUUUUCUAAUCCAAACAUGAAUUGUUACAGUACUUGAAAUAAACUUUAUGAGAACUGAGUGACUACAUUGCUUCAGAUAGUUUUAUACUGCUAGGUCAACGCUGCCUGACAGUAAUAAGAACAGGAUGUGGGAUUCAAUAUGCUCAUUCUAUCUCAAACUCUGUCACACAUACAAUGACUGCUAUUUACCUUCCUCCUGAGCCAUCUGGGAAAAAACCAACCAACCAAACAAACAAACAAAAGAAAAACCCACCAGGUAGGAGUCAGUUAGUUCUGCUAACUAACUAACCAAAAACCUUAAUUGUAUGGCCACCAGCACCCUAGCCCUUUGUCAUGAAAGCUACCAAUAAGGUGGAAAUUUAAAAUAUGAAAUAUUUCAUUAUACAUGUUUUAUUAAACCCUACAUGUGCAGAAAUGAUUGUCCAUUUUCCUUCUUAACUUGCUUUUGUAAGACUUAUUAAGUAGAAAAUAUAAAUCUCAAGCUCCUUAAAUGUGAUUUUGAGGAACUGAGACCAAAACAAUUUUUUGCUGUGGAACCAGAUCCUUGAAUGCACUACAGGAAAAUAUUAUUUGAUAUGAAAUUUUUUUGAGUAGUUCUAUGUCUUUACUUCCUAGUGGUUUACACACUCUUUAACCCAUAUGGCAAUCUGGCUUCUGUCUCCGGUGCUCUGGAAUUACUUCUGCCUGUAUGAUUAAGUUCCUCAUUGUUAAAUUCGAAAAUACAUUCUUUGGUAUUUAUUUGACCUCUUGGUGGUAAUAUAGUGUAAGAGCACAGACUCUGGAGCCAAACUGCCUAGGUUCAAAUCUUAGCUCUAUUACUUUCUAACUCUGUGACUUUGGGCAAAUGACUUAACUCUCUCAUGCCUCAAAGCAGAAUCCUUUGUAAGGUUUAUUUAUAUAGUGGUGUAAAGAGUACUUACUUCAAAAGCUUUGGUCAGUGUGAGAAAUAAGCUCCUAACAAAGAAAGUGUUAUGUAAUAGUUAUUAUCUGGUACCUCUGAUCACAUCAUUUUUGAAAAUCACUUGAAAUCUGCCUAAGUUUCAUUCUGCCUUUGAUGGCUCCUUAUUUUCAUCUCCCUACUUCAGGCUUCCUCCCUAAUAUAUCUUUUAUGCCAAUAUUAUGAUCACUUGAAACUAUAAAUCUGAUGCCAUCCUUGGCCACUACCAUUAAGAUGGUCUAAACUCCUCAGCAUGAUAGACAAGUCCCUUUAUGAUAGUGUACCCAUCUAGUUCUCAUUCCUCAAGUCUCCUCUGUUGUCUAUGCUUACCCUAUGGGCUAAGCUGAAUCAAGCUGUUACAUUUCCAAAACAUGCCUCACUGUCUUUAUUCAUGCCUUUGCACAUGCCAUUGACUCUUCCUAGAAUGCCCCAUUCUCCUUCUCUAGAAAGUCUUCUCUUAACAUACUUCUUCCCAAAAUAAAUUAGGUGUCCUUUCUUAAUAUGCCUCCAAUAACCCCAUACAGUAUUUAUCCCAUUCUAUUUUAGAUGCCAGUUUGGUUGAUGAUACAUUUCAUCUAGUCAGAUCUUCCCACUGCCUCUUAUAAAGAAAACCAGGAGCCAUAUUAUGAUAUUCUUGUUCUCUAAUUUUUCUGCUGCCCUGAUCUUAAACCACUUUCUUCUCCCUUUGUUGACAAUUACCCCACCCCUUAUUUCUUAAUUAGCUCAACAAGAUUAGAUAGAAAUGUAUCUACAAAGGAUAUAUGUAUAUAAAUUAACUAGAUAACAAAACUUCACACUGAAGUGAACAUUCUACAAGUAUUUCUUUCAUUGCUGACCAUUAGGUUGCAGCAUGCAACUCUCAACAAUGAGCUGCCCCUCUCCACUCCUAUAGAAGCUCCAAAUACUAUGGUACCACUAUGUAGGUUUUCAGCCUUUCAAAGGCUUUUAUUAUGAACUUCAUCAUUACUUCAGCAGGAGCCUUUUAGGGACUUAAAAGCACUGAUUAUCUAUAAAAAGUAACUUCAUAUUUCAUGCACAAAAUUCCCAAUUGGCAGAUUUAGGUCCAUAAAAGAAAGGAAAAAAAUUAUUCUAGCUAUAUAAAUUAUCAGGAAUAAAAUAGCAUUUCUCCUUGCCUUGUUAUAAGGAAAUAAUAUAUUUUUCCUUACCAGGAAUCAGGAUAGUAUCUUUGAUGAUCCCUCAGGGUUAUAAAAUUGCUUACUGGUUAAAGUUUUUUGCCAAAGAUAUUAAGAAAUAAAAAGUUCGCUCAUUUUCCUGUGCAAUUUAAAGAAAUAUUUGCAGUAUGUACAGGAAUUUUAAGUUAUAUUGCAGACCCUGGCAAUAAUAUUUAAAAGGCCUAUUUUCCCCAUUAAAAAAUUUACCCCAUUAAAAAAGGUAAAAGGAAAUCUCCAUCAUCCCUGAGCAGAAAAGGAAAAAAUCAUGGGUACUUUAAUUAGUUAAUAGAAACCACUGUAAAUGAGUUAUCUAUCUCCAGAACAUUCUCAGAGAAUUUACACGAACUAAAACAGGAAUGAAGUGCUCUCAGAGACUUUUUCUCAGGUAAAUGUAUUUAGUAGUUUGAGUAGUUGAUCUGCAGAAACUUUAACUUUAAUUAACUACAUAGAUGAAUAUUUUUUAUUUUGAAAUUUGAGAAUGUCCUAAGAGGAUGUCUACAGGAUAUGAAACUACUGGGUGCAGGAAAAUUUUUUAAGUGUUAGCAAAUUGUGGCAAG